AUAGCAUUAUACCGUGAAACUGCGAAUGGCUCAUUAAAUCAGUUAUCGUUUAUUUGAUAGUACCUUACUACUUGGAUAACCGUGGUAAUUCUAGAGCUAAUACAUGCUGAAAACCCCAACUUCGGAAGGGGUGUAUUUAUUAGAUAAAAAACCAACGCCCUUCGGGGCUUCUUGGUGAUUCAUGAUAACUUUACGGAUCGCAUGGCCUUGCGCCGGCGACGGUUCAUUCAAAUUUCUGCCCUAUCAACUUUCGAUGGUAAGGUAUUGGCUUACCAUGGUUUCAACGGGUAACGGGGAAUUAGGGUUCGAUUCCGGAGAGGGAGCCUGAGAAACGGCUACCACAUCCAAGGAAGGCAGCAGGCGCGCAAAUUACCCAAUCCCGACACGGGGAGGUAGUGACAAUAAAUACUGAUACAGGGCUCUUUUGGGUCUUGUAAUUGGAAUGAGUACAAUUUAAACCUCUUAACGAGGAACAAUUGGAGGGCAAGUCUGGUGCCAGCAGCCGCGGUAAUUCCAGCUCCAAUAGCGUAUAUUAAAGUUGUUGCAGUUAAAAAGCUCGUAGUUGAAACUUGGGUCUGGCUGGCAGGUCCGCCUCACCGCGUGUACUUGUCCGGCCGGGCCUUCCUUCUGGAGAACCUCAUGCCCUUCACUGGGCGUGUUGGGGACCAGGACUUUUAC
This 678-nucleotide ribosomal RNA is filed under the name Melnikia anthoxanthii. RNAcentral's name for it is "SSU rRNA". It matches the Rfam family "Eukaryotic small subunit ribosomal RNA", at positions 69 to 755 of the family's 1831-position model. Lineage: Eukaryota; Fungi; Ascomycota; Dothideomycetes; Pleosporales; Phaeosphaeriaceae. The record is from RNAcentral.